CGAGACGCUGCGGCGUGCCUAACACAUGCAAGUCGAGCGCGAAAAGGGCAACCUGAGUAGAGCGGCGCACGGGUGCGUAACACGUGGGUAAUCUGCCUUUGAGUCGAGGAUAACCUUCCGAAAGGUUGGCUAAUACUCGGUAAGCUUACGGAGACUUUGGUCUCUGUGAGAAAAGUAGGCCUCUAUUUAUAAGCUUACGCUUGAAGAUGAGCCCGCGGCCCAUCAGCUAGUUGGCGGGGUAACGGCCCACCAAGGCAACGACGGGUAGCUGGUCUGAGAGGACGAUCAGCCACACUGGAACUGAGACACGGUCCAGACUCCUACGGGAGGCAGCAGUGGGGAAUUUUCCACAAUGGGCGAAAGCCUGAUGGAGCAACGCCGCGUGUGUGAUGAAGGUUUUCGGAUCGUAAAGCACUUUCGACCGGGACGAAAAACCUCUGGCUAACAUCCAGGGGCCUGACGGUACCGGGAGAAGAAGCACCGGCUAACUCUGUGCCAGCAGCCGCGGUAAUACAGAGGGUGCAAGCGUUGUUCGGAAUUAUUGGGCGUAAAGCGCGUGUAGGCGGCUUUGCAAGUCAGAUGUGAAAGCCCUCGGCUUAACCGAGGAAGUGCGUCUGAAACUGCAGAGCUUGAGUGUCGGAGAGGAUGGCGGAAUUCCGCAAGUAGAGGUGAAAUUCGUAGAUAUGCGGAGGAACACCGGUGGCGAAGGCGGCCAUCUGGACGACUACUGACGCUGAGACGCGAAAGCGUGGGGAGCAAACAGGAUUAGAUACCCUGGUAGUCCACGCUGUAAACGAUGAGAACUAGGUGUCGUGGGUGUUGACCCCCGCGGUGCCGCAGCUAACGCAUUAAGUCUCCGCCUGAGACGCGCGU
This 873-nucleotide ribosomal RNA is filed under the name Deltaproteobacteria bacterium. RNAcentral's name for it is "bacterial SSU rRNA". It matches the Rfam family "Bacterial small subunit ribosomal RNA", at positions 30 to 885 of the family's 1533-position model. Lineage: Bacteria; Pseudomonadati; Myxococcota; Myxococcia. The record is from RNAcentral.